CCGCUUUCGGACGGAAAGAAAUCGCAUGGACUAAUACUCUGUGUGGAUGACGGUACCGUAAGAAGAAGCACCGGCUAACUACGUGCCAGCAGCCGCGGUAAUACGUAGGGUGCGAGCGUUAAUCGGAAUUACUGGGCGUAAAGCGUGCGCAGGCGGUUUCUUAAGCCAGACGUGAAAUCCCCGGGCUUAACCUGGGAACUGCGUUUGGAACUGGGAGACUAGAGUGUGUCAGAGGGAGGUGGAAUUCCGCGUGUAGCAGUGAAAUGCGUAGAUAUGCGGAGGAACACCGAUGGCGAAGGCAGCCUCCUGGGAUAACACUGACGCUCAUGCACGAAAGCGUGGGGAGCAAACAGGAUUAGAUACCCUGGUAGUCCACGCCCUAAACGAUGUCAACUGGCUGUUGGGAGAGAAAUCUUUCAGUAGCGAAGCUAACGCGUGAAGUUGACCGCCUGGGAGUACGGCCGCAAGGUUGAAACUCAAAGGAA
Molecule: ribosomal RNA, 485 nt
Filed under: uncultured bacterium
Lineage: Bacteria
Description: bacterial SSU rRNA
Rfam family: Bacterial small subunit ribosomal RNA
Source: RNAcentral